Molecule: ribosomal RNA, 253 nt
Filed under: uncultured bacterium
Lineage: Bacteria
Description: partial 16S ribosomal RNA
Rfam family: Bacterial small subunit ribosomal RNA
Source: RNAcentral
UACAGAGGGGGCAAGCGUUGUUCGGAAUUACUGGGCGUAAAGGGCUCGUAGGCGGCCAACUAAGUCGGACGUGAAAUCCCCAGGCUCAACCUGGGAACUGCGUCCGAUACUGGAUGGCUUGAAUCCGGGAGAGGGAUGCGGAAUUCCAGGUGUAGCGGUGAAAUGCGUAGAUAUCUGGAGGAACACCGGUGGCGAAGGCGGCAUCCUGGACCGAGAUUGACGCUGAGGCGCGAAAGCCAGGGGAGCAAACGGG